This is a non-coding RNA of Podarcis lilfordi (Lilford's wall lizard), 74 nucleotides long. The record is from the annotation of a GenBank genome assembly. NCBI's taxonomy places the organism in Eukaryota, Metazoa, Chordata, Lepidosauria, Squamata, Lacertidae.
GUAACAACUAGCUCAGUCAGUAGAACAUUAGACUCUUCAUCUUAGGGUCGUGGGCUUGAGCCCCAUGUUGGGCA